RNAcentral lists this transfer RNA (76 nucleotides) under Phocoenobacter atlanticus subsp. cyclopteri. RNAcentral describes it as "tRNA-Lys". It matches the Rfam family "tRNA". Rfam says of the family: Transfer RNA (tRNA) molecules are approximately 80 nucleotides in length. Their secondary structure includes four short double-helical elements and three loops (D, anti-codon, and T loops). Lineage: Bacteria; Pseudomonadati; Pseudomonadota; Gammaproteobacteria; Pasteurellales; Pasteurellaceae. RNAcentral also lists the same sequence under 2 other names. The record is from RNAcentral.
GGGGCAUUAGCUCAGUUGGUAGAGCAGUGGACUUUUAAUCCAUUUGUCGAAGGUUCGAAUCCUUCAUGCCCCACCA